AUACGUAGGGAGCAAGCGUUGUCCGGAUUUACUGGGUGUAAAGGGUGCGUAGGCGGCUUUGCAAGUCAGGUGUGAAAACCAUCGGCUUAACCGAUGGACUGCAUUUGAAACUGCAGAGCUUGAGUGAAGUAGAGGCAGGCGGAAUUCCCGGUGUAGCGGUGAAAUGCGUAGAGAUCGGGAGGAACACCAGUGGCGAAGGCGGCCUGCUGGGCUUUAACUGACGCUGUGGCACGAAAGCAUGGGUAGCAAACAGGAUUAGAUACCCUGGUAGUCCAUGCUGUAAACGAUGAUUACUAGGUGUGGGGGGUCUGACCCCUUCCGUGCCGGAGUUAACACAAUAAGUAAUCCACCUGGGAAGUACGACCGCAAGGUUGAA
This 376-nucleotide ribosomal RNA is filed under the name uncultured bacterium. RNAcentral's name for it is "bacterial SSU rRNA". It matches the Rfam family "Bacterial small subunit ribosomal RNA", at positions 523 to 898 of the family's 1533-position model. The record is from RNAcentral.